AGAGUUUGAUCCUGGCUCAGGAUGAACGCUGGCGGUAUGCUUUACACAUGCAAGUCGUACGAGAGUUUUUAACUCAAGUGGCGGACGGGUGAGGAACACGUAAGAAUUUGCCUUUAGGAGGGGGACAACAACUAGAAAUGGUUGCUAAUACCCCAUAUGCUUUCGAGUGAAAUGGAUUUUUCCGCCUAAAGAGAAGCUUGCGGCUGAUUAGCUUGUUGGUGAGGUAAUGGCUCACCAAGGCGACGAUCAGUAUCUGGUUUGAGAGGAUGAUCAGACACACUGGAACUGAGACACGGUCCAGACUCCUACGGGAGGCAGCAGUGGGGAAUUUUCCGCAAUGGGCGAAAGCCUGACGGAGCAAUACCGCGUGAGGGAUGACGGCCUAUGGGUUAUAAACCUCUUUUUUCAGGGAGGAAUCAAAUGACGUGUACCUGAAGAAUAAGCAUCGGCUAACUCCGUGCCCGCAGCCGCGGUAAGACGGAGGAUGCAAGUGUUAUCCCGGAAUCACUGGGCGUAAAGCGUCUGUA
Molecule: ribosomal RNA, 527 nt
Filed under: uncultured bacterium
Lineage: Bacteria
Description: bacterial SSU rRNA
Rfam family: Bacterial small subunit ribosomal RNA
Source: RNAcentral